UGUAUUCCUUAUCUGUUAUUUGUUUUAAUGUUUAAUGGAGCCUAUCUUCUCGUGGUUCUCUACAAUAUAAAACACGAGAAGAUAGGCCCUGCUGUUUUGUUGCUGCUUAUGCUCUAAUG
This is a small RNA of Moellerella wisconsensis ATCC 35017, 119 nucleotides long. It matches the Rfam family "tp2". The record is from Rfam. NCBI's taxonomy places the organism in Bacteria, Pseudomonadati, Pseudomonadota, Gammaproteobacteria, Enterobacterales, Morganellaceae.